RNAcentral lists this ribosomal RNA (478 nucleotides) under uncultured bacterium. Its description in RNAcentral is "bacterial SSU rRNA". It matches the Rfam family "Bacterial small subunit ribosomal RNA", at positions 30 to 499 of the family's 1533-position model. The record is from RNAcentral.
UGAACGCUAGCGGCAGGCCUAACACAUGCAAGUCGAGGGGUAACAGAGAGAAGCUUGCUUUUCUGCUGACGACCGGCGCACGGGUGAGUAACGCGUAUACAAUCUGCCUUAUACAGAGGGAUAGCCUUUAGAAAUGAAGAUUAAUACCUUAUAGUCUAUUUUUAUAGCAUUAUAUAAAUAGUAAAGCUUCGGUGGUAUAAGAUGAGUAUGCGUCCUAUUAGUUAGUUGGUAAGGUAACGGCUUACCAAGACAACGAUAGGUAGGGGCCCUGAGAGGGGGAUCCCCCACACUGGUACUGAGACACGGACCAGACUCCUACGGGAGGCAGCAGUGAGGAAUAUUGGACAAUGGAGGCAACUCUGAUCCAGCCAUGCCGCGUGCAGGAAGACGGCCCUAUGGGUUGUAAACUGCUUUUAUAUAGGAAGAAACCUUUUCACGUGUGAGAAGCUGACGGUACUAUAAGAAUAAGGACCGGCUA